CAAUAGCGUAUAUUAAAGUUGUUGCGGUUAAAACGCUCGUAGUUGGAUUUCUGUUGAGGGCAGCCGGUCCGCACUUCGUGCGUGUAUCUGGUUUGACCUCGGCAUCCUCUCAAAAUACGUUUCUGCGCUUGAUUGCGUGGAGCGGAGUUUGAGACUUUUACUUUGAGGAAAUUAGAGUGUUCACGGCAGGCAAUCGCCUUGAAUGUAUUAGCAUGGAAUAAUAAUAUAGGAUCUUGGUUCUAUUUUGUUGGUUUCUAGAGCUAAGAUAAUGAUUAAUAGGGACAAUUGGGGGCAUUCGUAUUAACGCGUCAGAGGUGGAAUUCUUGGAUUGCGUUACGACGAACUACUGCGAAAGCAUUUGCCAAGGAUGUUUUCAUUGA
RNAcentral lists this ribosomal RNA (380 nucleotides) under uncultured eukaryote. RNAcentral describes it as "partial 18S ribosomal RNA". It matches the Rfam family "Eukaryotic small subunit ribosomal RNA", at positions 592 to 976 of the family's 1831-position model. The record is from RNAcentral.